Long non-coding RNA from Carassius gibelio (silver crucian carp), 523 nucleotides. RefSeq lists it as uncharacterized. Lineage: Eukaryota; Metazoa; Chordata; Actinopteri; Cypriniformes; Cyprinidae. The transcript has 3 exons. The record is from RefSeq and is a predicted model, not a curated record.
CUAAUAUUGUGAGAUAUACCUGUUUUUGAUGUGUUUCUGUUUUACAGCCCUGAUUUUGAAGCUGUUGUCUGUUAUUUACAAACUUGUGACUUCUAUGCUCCUAAAAGGCAUGGAGAUCAUGUGCAUCUGCAAGUACGGCUCACGGAUUAUGAAUGCAUGAGUUCUCAUGGUGCCAGAAGAAAAAAUUAUUCCAUUUUCUCCAAAGGAUGAGAGGAACAUCAACAGCAGCUGUCUGGGAUAGAGAGGUACCUGUAAAGCCCAAAGAUGUUUCCUCAGAGAAUGUGACAGUAGUGUGUGGUGUGAUCUGUGUGUUUGUGUCAUUUCUCAGGGAGAAUCAAUGCAGAGACUGAAGCUGAGCUGCAGUAUGUACCUGCGCCCUCUGCUGGAGCAUGAUCUGCACAUGUGUGUUCAUGAUGAAAAUCUCGCUCAAUGUCUGAUAAGCUGGCAUGUUUGAUUUCCGGCACUGUAGACUGUGAGCUAUGAGCUCAAAUAUGUCAUAAAUCAUUUGAGCCUUUAUGCUGAA